Molecule: RNA transcript, 1642 nt
Organism: Xenopus laevis (African clawed frog)
Lineage: Eukaryota; Metazoa; Chordata; Amphibia; Anura; Pipidae
Gene name: protein kinase C delta type-like
Exons: 10
Source: RefSeq, a predicted model, not a curated record
AUAUUUUCAUUACUUUAAAACAAUUUCAUUUUGUGGUGUUACUGUUCCUUUAACAGUAGCGUGCACACGGCCAAAUCACAGUUGCUGAAUGACAGUUGACCAUAGAGCUGUCUCAGUGAAUGGUUCACUUUCACAGCGUCUCCCCAGUGAGAAGCGAUUUUUCUAUAUUUUAGUUAUUUUCAGGAUAUAUCAACCAGCUAUGGAUAGAUCCAAAAAUUCUCCAGAAUCCCGUGUGCUCACGAGGAAGAGAACCAUCAAGGAGAAGACAGAAGGGGCACCUAAAAAGACCAAGCUUAUGGGUAACAACAUGGAGGAGAAAAGCUUGCGUCAAGUAGAGCAAGAGGUGCUGAAGAGAGAGAGAGAGCGAGAGCCAGCAGAAGCAGGAAGAAGUGGAGCGAGUAGGCCUUGUGUUGAAGCUCAGAUGCCUAAAAAUCCGAAAAACAUCACCAACUACAAGUUUCACAAGGAGCUGGGAAAAGGAAGCUUCGGAAAGGUUAUGCUGGCGUCGCUUAACAACUGCAGAGAUCAAGUGGCAAUCAAAGUGAUUCGGAAGACUACGAGUGUAGAGGACAUCCUGACGGAGGCGCGCACUCUCAGAAUCACUGGAGCUUGUCCCUUUCUCUGCCAUGGAUAUGGAGCUUUCCAAACGCAGAUGCAUGCGUUUCUUGUAAUGGAGUUCAUGAGUGGAGGGACCCUGGAACAGCUUAUAAAUAAGAGAGGUUGCCUGAACAGGGACAUCAUACAAUUCUAUUCUGCAGAGAUGAUCAUCGGUCUACAGUAUCUGCAUUCAUGUGGUAUUGUGCACCGAGAUCUUAAACCACCAAACAUCUUACUGAGCGCCGAGGGGCACAUCAAGAUCAGUGAUUUCGGCCUAGCUGUAGAAGGGAUUUUCGGCAACAAGAAGAUGUACGAUCUAGUAGGGUCCUACCACUACAUGGCUCCAGAGAUUCAUCUGAUGAGUGGAUAUGGCGCAGGAGUGGAUUGGUGGGCAUUUGCCAUUAUUCUGUGCCAAAUGGCCGCCAGAAGAUCUCCAUUCCACGAAGGCUUGACACUGCUCAACAUCAUCGAAUCAGUCACCUUGAAGCAGCCUUCCAUUCCAGAGGAUAUCAGCCCUGAUCUGAAAAGUCUGAUGCAGGAGCUCUUUGAGAAGAAUCCAGACAAGCGCCUGGGCACAUCGGGGGAUAUAAGGAAACACCCGUUUUAUAGAUCGGUUGACUGGGCAGCCUUGGAGAACAGGAAGAUUCCACCUCCUUUCAAGCCACAAUCUCAGGUCCUUUCUCCUUCAGUGCUGUGGCUGGAGGUAUAUUCUUGAAACGCCAAACCCCCAUCCCCUUAGCCAGACUAUGACAAAUGUGGUUGGUGCUUGGCUGGUUCUGUUCUGGGCAAGGCAGGAUACCGACUGUGGAUGUCAGUGCAGUCUGUGAAGAGCCCCUGUCAUUCGUAGAAGAGCCAGGCUGCACCAACCCAUCAGGUGGUAUAAAAAUGAUUCAGGGUCUGUCAUUCCUGAGUCCCAGUUGGGAAAGAUCUGCUGGUCCCUUUUGCCUCCACCCUCUGCGCUCUCCACCAAGGGCCCCCGCCAUCGGCCCUCCUAUACUCAGACCCCUGCCAUCAGCCUUCCCCACUUCUGCCCCCCCCACCUCUG